RNAcentral lists this ribosomal RNA (468 nucleotides) under uncultured bacterium. Its description in RNAcentral is "partial 16S ribosomal RNA". It matches the Rfam family "Bacterial small subunit ribosomal RNA", at positions 28 to 507 of the family's 1533-position model. The record is from RNAcentral.
GACGAACGCUGGCGGCGUGCUUAACACAUGCAAGUCGAACGGAAAGGCCCUGCUUUUGUGGGGUGCUCGAGUGGCGAACGGGUGAGUAACACGUGAGUAACCUGCCCUUGACUUUGGGAUAACUUCAGGAAACUGGGGCUAAUACCGGAUAGGAGCUCCUGAUGCACGGUGGGGGGUGGAAAUUUUCGGCGGUUGGGGAUGGACUCGCGGCUUAUCAGCUUGUCGGUGGGGUAGUGGCUUACCAAGGCUUUGACGGGUAGCCGGCCUGAGAGGGUGACCGGCCACAUUGGGACUGAGAUACGGCCCAGACUCCUACGGGAGGCAGCAGUGGGGAAUAUUGCACAAUGGGCGGAAGCCUGAUGCAGCAACGCCGCGUGCGGGAUGACGGCCUUCGGGUUGUAAACCGCUUUCGCCUGUGACGAAGCGUGAGUGACGGUAAUGGGUAAAGAAGCACCGGCUAACUACGUG